This 264-nucleotide ribosomal RNA is filed under the name uncultured bacterium. RNAcentral describes it as "partial 16S ribosomal RNA". It matches the Rfam family "Bacterial small subunit ribosomal RNA", at positions 89 to 354 of the family's 1533-position model. The record is from RNAcentral.
UGGCGACCGGCGCACGGGUGAGUAACACGUAUCCAACCUGCCGAUGACUCGGGGAUAGCCUUUCGAAAGAAAGAUUAAUACCCGAUAGCAUAGUUCUUCCGCAUGGUAGAACUAUUAAAGAAUUUCGGUCAUCGAUGGGGAUGCGUUCCAUUAGCUUGUUGGCGGGGUAACGGCCCACCAAGGCAUCGAUGGAUAGGGGUUCUGAGAGGAAGGUCCCCCACAUUGGAACUGAGACACGGUCCAAACUCCUACGGGAGGCAGCAG